RNAcentral lists this microRNA (23 nucleotides) under Caenorhabditis brenneri. RNAcentral's name for it is "cbn-miR-237". Its record names the gene cbn-miR-237. The record is from miRBase by way of RNAcentral. Lineage: Eukaryota; Metazoa; Nematoda; Chromadorea; Rhabditida; Rhabditidae.
UCCCUGAGAAUACUCUGGCAGCU